Non-coding RNA from Potamilus streckersoni, 73 nucleotides. The record is from the annotation of a GenBank genome assembly. NCBI's taxonomy places the organism in Eukaryota, Metazoa, Mollusca, Bivalvia, Unionida, Unionidae.
GCUCCGGUGGCCUAGUGGUUAGAGCGUUCGUAUUGGAUGCAGGAGGUCGAGGGUUCGAACCCCGGCCGAGUCA